RNAcentral lists this transfer RNA (91 nucleotides) under Dreissena polymorpha. Its description in RNAcentral is "tRNA-Phe". It matches the Rfam family "tRNA". Rfam says of the family: Transfer RNA (tRNA) molecules are approximately 80 nucleotides in length. Their secondary structure includes four short double-helical elements and three loops (D, anti-codon, and T loops). Further hydrogen bonds mediate the characteristic L-shaped molecular structure. tRNAs have two regions of fundamental functional importance: the anti-codon, which is responsible for specific mRNA codon recognition, and the 3' end, to which the tRNAs corresponding amino acid is attached (by aminoacyl-tRNA synthetases). tRNAs cope with the degeneracy of the genetic code in two manners: having more than one tRNA (with a specific anti-codon) for a particular amino acid; and 'wobble' base-pairing, i.e. permitting non-standard base-pairing at the 3rd anti-codon position. Lineage: Eukaryota; Metazoa; Mollusca; Bivalvia; Myida; Dreissenidae. The record is from RNAcentral.
GCCGGAAUAGUUCAGUUGGGAGAGCGUUAAACUGAAGUUGUUUACGCAACAGUCAUCUAAAGGCCGCCCGGUUUAAUCCCGGGUUCCGGCA